This 593-nucleotide unclassified non-coding RNA is filed under the name Hevea brasiliensis (rubber tree). Lineage: Eukaryota; Viridiplantae; Streptophyta; Magnoliopsida; Malpighiales; Euphorbiaceae. The record is from RNAcentral.
AUUUGUUCAAGAAACUUGGAAAGAUACAAAUGCAUUGCAGCCUAUUCUUUCCUUGGCUUCCGCAUAUAAAUCUAGCGUACCGCGACCCUAAAUAGCGCUCCAACCAAGUCCACCCUGCGUACCCCAUACGUAGGAAAGUAGGGGUCCUGUAACCAUACCCGUCGCAUGAACCAAACCAAACUACGAGCUAGGUAACUCAGGACGCGAUAUACAUGUUAAGAAUAGAUAAAAUAGCUAAAGGUUCUCCACUGGAUGGAAGGAGAAGCAUGCACUCUAUAUGUUACAAUUUAAUGAGAGCCAGUAAUUGAAUAAAUCAGUUAAAACCCUUUAGCAAAAUCAAUUACAUCAAUUGAAAUUGACAAGAGCUACCAUGAUUUUAAAACCCUACAAAGCAAAUUAAGCAACCAAGAUAUCCAUAAUAACAACCAUAUAAUCAUCCGAGAGGAUAAAAUAUAAUGAAAACCAUAAAAACAAAAACAAGGAUUCAAUACAUACCUUAGCUCUCAUCUUGGUUCAAGCGAUAAGGAUCUGCGUGUCUCACUCUGUUCGGCGACUUCCAGCAAAUGAACCAGAUUUUCUAUUCCAAGUUUAUC